AUGUUUGAUCUGAAUACCUGGGGGCCAGAUGAUGAAUGUUUUGUCUCUUAUAUGAGGAAUCUUGUUCUGGGCUAAGUGCACCUAAGUGCUUUUGCCUCUCUGGCUGCUGUCCUCACCCCGUAUGUGGGGUGUCGCAUAUAUGAAGUGACUACUACUAUGGUAGCCCUCGAGGAGGCAGAAGGCCAUCAACAGGACCAGGGAAUUGUGCCAUAAAGAAGAGGAAGAUGCUCCAUCUACAGAAGUGGCGGCGCCCCUCUUGUGGCAACAUUUGGCAGUAUGCAGUUGUGCCAUCAACAAAUCCAGAGUCCAAGGGCCUGGAUUGUCUGCCAAAUUCUUAGGAGUUAUUUGAUCAGCACGUUGAUUAAUCCAGCCUGGAGCUUUCCUGAAAGGUACUGCAAGUGACAUAACCUAAGGGACAAAAUGACCAAGCAUAAAAUGGACACAUUCACAAAAUGAAGCCUGUGGACUGAAGAGUAACAGAAAGCAGUCAGUGGAGGGGGACCAUCAACCUCAUGAAAAUUGCAACUGGAACAUGUCACUGAGAAAACCCAGGGAAAACUCACAAAGGCAUUCUAGAGCACUGCUUCCUAAAUGUUACUGUGCUUACAAACUACCUAAGUAUCUUGCUGCAAUACAGGAUAUUCGGUAAGCUAUGGCAAACUCCAAGGUGAUGGCUGAUGUGUCUGGUUCAACAACUACACUUCGUAUCAAAGGUUUAAAGAAAAAGACUUGGCUUCAAGUGCCUGCCAUACCAAGAGGAGACUGACAGCAGAUUCUACCAGCAUUACCUUUAUAAAGUCUGUGCUCCCCUUUCUGCUGUUGUCUCUCUCCCAGUGCUAGAUCUCUAGAGAGUGAGAAAUCCAAGUUGAUAAAGGUUAGAAAAAAGUAGGGAAAAUAACCACCGAAAGACUGAAUAUACAAAGGGACAAUGGCCAGACCACUUAUGGUAAUAUAACGCUGAUGACUCACAUUAGAUGCCCAGGAAACCAAAAAACAACUUCUGUAGCAAUCAAUCCAGAAAGUCAAAUGACAGCCUUUGUAAUAACCAGCUCAGAUGGUCAGGACUAAGUCAAUGCUGCCAACUUCCCUGUAUUUGUUCUCACUUUCAAUCAGGAUGAACAAAAAGAAAGCCAAAUAUAAAAUCAAUUCCAUAAGAUGACAUGUGUCCAGGUAACCUGUCCCAGUCCUUCCCAUGACAACAACCUGCCAUCAAGGUCUCUACAUAGCCUCUUUUUCUUUUUGCAUUACUAAAAAGCUUUUCCACUGUCUGUCAGUCUUUGAGUCUCCGCCAAACAUGGAUAAUAUUAAUAGAUAAUGGUAGCCCACUCCCUUGUUACAGUAACCUCUAAAUAAAUAGCUUCACUUGUUUGUUC
Molecule: long non-coding RNA, 1373 nt
Organism: Homo sapiens (human)
Lineage: Eukaryota; Metazoa; Chordata; Mammalia; Primates; Hominidae
Source: Ensembl